This is a long non-coding RNA of Oncorhynchus keta (chum salmon), 971 nucleotides long. RefSeq lists it as uncharacterized. The transcript has 2 exons. Lineage: Eukaryota; Metazoa; Chordata; Actinopteri; Salmoniformes; Salmonidae. The record is from RefSeq and is a predicted model, not a curated record.
CACAGAGUACUAGGGCUGGGUGCUAACAUACAAACACAGAGCAAAGAACUGAGGAAAACAAAGGGUUUAAAUACAAUCAGGGGAAACGAGGCACAGGUGCAACUAAUAAUGGGGAUCAAGGGAAAACAAAAGGUCAAAAGGCACAAUGGGGGCAUCUAGUGACCAAAAACCGGAACAACCCUGGCCAAAUCCUGACACUAAGAGGAAGGCGUCUCUCUCAAAAAAUAUCUGUUGGUAGUUACAGUCUUGUCCCAUCACUACAACUCCUCUAUGGACUCAGGAGAGGCGAAGGUCGAGAGCCUCACGUCCUCCAAAACACAACCCUGCCAACUCCACUGCUCGCUUAACCCGGAAGCCAGCCACACCAAUGUGUCGGAGGAAACACUGUGCAACUACCGACCGUGUCAGCGUGCAUGCGCCCAGCCCUCCACAGGAGUAGCUAGAGUGCAAUGGGACAAGGACAAGGACAUCCCGGCUGGCCAAACCCUCCCCUAACCUGGACGACGCUGGGCCAAUUGUGUGUCACCUCAUGGCUCUCCUAAUUGCGGCCAGCUGUGACAAAGCCUGAGAUCGAACCUGGAUCUGUAGUGUAGCCUCAAGCACUGCGAUGCAGUGCCUUAGACCGCUGCGCCACUCGGGAGGCCCCGACUGAGGGACCUUACAGAAAAUGAUAUGUGUGGCAUACAGAGAUGAGGUAGCCGUCACACAGAGCGAGUCCAUACAACUUAUCAUGUGGCUUGUUAAGCCAAUGUGUUCUCCUGAACUCAUUAAGACAUGCAAUAACAUAUGGAUUGAAUAUUCAGCUUUAGAUGUUUUAUUAAUAAGUAAACAUCUUGAAAAACAUGAUUCCACUUUGACAUUAUGGGGUAUUGAGUGUAGGCCAAUGGCAAAAAAAAAAAUUGAAUCCAUUUUAAAUGCAGGCUGUAACACAACAAAUUGUUUAGAAGUAAAGUGGUGUGAAUACUUUCUGA